Molecule: ribosomal RNA, 482 nt
Filed under: uncultured bacterium
Lineage: Bacteria
Description: partial 16S ribosomal RNA
Rfam family: Bacterial small subunit ribosomal RNA
Source: RNAcentral
AUUGAACGCUGGCGGCAUGCCUUACACAUGCAAGUCGAACGGUAACGGGCCUUCGGGUGCCGACGCGUGGCGAACGGGCGAGUAAUACAUCGGAACGUGCCCGAUCGUGGGGGAUAACGAGGCGAAAGCUUUGCUAAUACCGCAUACGAUCUACGGAUGAAAGCAGGGGACCGCAAGGCCUUGCGCGGGCGGAGCGGCCGAUGGCGGAUUAGGUAGUUGGUGGGAUAAAAGCUUACCAAGCCGACGAUCUGUAGCUGGUCUGAGAGGGUGACCAGCCACACUGGGACUGAGACACGGCCCAGACUCCUACGGGAGGCAGCAGUGGGGAAUUUUGGACAAUGGGCGCAAGCCUGAUCCAGCCAUGCCGCGUGCAGGAUGAAGGCCUUCGGGUUGUAAACUGCUUUUGUACGGAACGAAAAGCCUUCUUUUAAUACAGGAGGGUCAUGACGGUACCGUAAGAAUAAGCACCGGCUAACUACGUG